GGCCGGGUCCCACGCAACGGGGAGCUGUGAAUCUGGUCAGGCCCGGAAGGGAGCAGCCAUAAGCAGAAUUCUUUGUGUGCCGUGGGGAUACUCGGCCACC
Molecule: signal recognition particle RNA, 100 nt
Filed under: Petrotogaceae bacterium
Lineage: Bacteria; Thermotogati; Thermotogota; Thermotogae; Petrotogales; Petrotogaceae
Description: signal recognition particle sRNA small type
Rfam family: Bacterial small signal recognition particle RNA
About the family: The signal recognition particle (SRP) is a universally conserved ribonucleoprotein involved in the co-translational targeting of proteins to membranes. Archaeal SRP consists of a 7S RNA and homologues of the eukaryotic SRP19 and SRP54 proteins. In most bacteria, the SRP consists of a 4.5S RNA and the Ffh protein (a homologue of the eukaryotic SRP54 protein).
Source: RNAcentral